GGCCGCGGGAAUUCGAUUGGCGACGAUCGGUAGCUGGUCUGAGAGGACGAUCAGCCACACUGGGACUGAGACACGGCCCAGACUCCUACGGGAGGCAGCAGUGGGGAAUAUUGGACAAUGGGGGCAACCCUGAUCCAGCCAUGCCGCGUGAGUGAUGAAGGCCUUCGGGUUGUAAAGCUCUUUUGGCGGGGACGAUGAUGACGGUACCCGCAGAAUAAGCCCCGGCUAACUUCGUG
This 236-nucleotide ribosomal RNA is filed under the name uncultured bacterium. RNAcentral describes it as "partial 16S ribosomal RNA". It matches the Rfam family "Bacterial small subunit ribosomal RNA", at positions 243 to 507 of the family's 1533-position model. The record is from RNAcentral.